This 312-nucleotide long non-coding RNA is filed under the name Homo sapiens (human). RNAcentral's name for it is "non-protein coding lnc-APOC3-6:6". Lineage: Eukaryota; Metazoa; Chordata; Mammalia; Primates; Hominidae. The record is from RNAcentral.
GCGUGCGUGUGUGUGUGUGUGUUGCUAUCUCAUAGCAUCUGUUUAUUUCCAUGUCCGCAGCAAAGUGCUGGGCACACAGAAGGACAACGUGAUGAAGCGCCAUCACAUGGCUGGUAGCCUGUGGUGAGUCACCGGACUUCUCGACUCCCACCUCACUAGGGUGGAAGGAACAGUAACCACAACGCUCUGCAACUCGGGCUGCGCCCGCAUGAUUGGAAACAAUCUGUGAAGUGAGUCACAUCAGUUGCAAAAACAAUUAAGUCAGUGGGAUUGUGGAGUGAACAACCCCGAAGAAAUAGACUUCUAAUUCUA